This 111-nucleotide ribosomal RNA is filed under the name Saimiri boliviensis boliviensis (Bolivian squirrel monkey). The record is from RNAcentral. Lineage: Eukaryota; Metazoa; Chordata; Mammalia; Primates; Cebidae.
GUCCAUAGCCAUACAGACACCCUGAACAUGCCUGAUCGUGUCUGAUCUCAGAAGCUAAGCAGGAUCAGUCUGGUUGGUACCUGGAAGGGAAGGAGGCCUGAGUUUUGGAUU